Molecule: ribosomal RNA, 433 nt
Filed under: uncultured bacterium
Lineage: Bacteria
Description: partial 16S ribosomal RNA
Rfam family: Bacterial small subunit ribosomal RNA
Source: RNAcentral
AACGAACGCUGGCGGCAUGCCUAACACAUGCAAGUCGAACGAGACCUUCGGGUCUAGUGGCGCACGGGUGCGUAACGCGUGGGAACCUGCCCUUAUGUUCGGAAUAACUCCCCGAAAGGGGUGCUAAUACCGGAUAAUGUCUUCGGACCAAAGAUUUAUCGCCUUUGGAUGGGCCCGCGUUGGAUUAGCUAGUUGGUAGGGUAAAAGCAUACCAAGGCGACGAUCCAUAGAUGGUCUGAGAGGAUGAUCAGCCACACUGGGACUGAGACACGGCCCAGACUCCUACGGGAGGCAGCAGUGGGGAAUAUUGGAAAAUGGGCGAAAGCCUGAUCCAGCAAUGCCGCGUGAGUGAUGAAGGCCUUAGGGUUGUAAAGCUCUUUUACCCGGGAUGAUAAUGACAGUACCGGGAGAAUAAGCACCGGCUAACUCCGUG